RNAcentral lists this transfer RNA (75 nucleotides) under Dallia pectoralis (Alaska blackfish). RNAcentral's name for it is "tRNA-OTHER". It matches the Rfam family "tRNA". From Rfam's summary of the family: Transfer RNA (tRNA) molecules are approximately 80 nucleotides in length. Their secondary structure includes four short double-helical elements and three loops (D, anti-codon, and T loops). Further hydrogen bonds mediate the characteristic L-shaped molecular structure. tRNAs have two regions of fundamental functional importance: the anti-codon, which is responsible for specific mRNA codon recognition, and the 3' end, to which the tRNAs corresponding amino acid is attached (by aminoacyl-tRNA synthetases). tRNAs cope with the degeneracy of the genetic code in two manners: having more than one tRNA (with a specific anti-codon) for a particular amino acid; and 'wobble' base-pairing, i.e. permitting non-standard base-pairing at the 3rd anti-codon position. The record is from RNAcentral. Lineage: Eukaryota; Metazoa; Chordata; Actinopteri; Esociformes; Umbridae.
GCUGUGAUGGCCGAGUGGUUAAGGCUUUGAAACUAAUGGGGUUUCUCCGCGCAGGUUAGAACCCUGCUCUCACCG